Molecule: RNase P RNA, 382 nt
Filed under: Pseudomonadota bacterium
Lineage: Bacteria; Pseudomonadati; Pseudomonadota
Description: RNase P RNA component class A
Rfam family: Bacterial RNase P class A
About the family: Ribonuclease P (RNase P) is a ubiquitous endoribonuclease, found in archaea, bacteria and eukarya as well as chloroplasts and mitochondria.
Source: RNAcentral
GGAGUUGGCCAGGCAGUCGCUGCGCGGUUCGCCGCGUAGAGGAAAGUCCGGGCUCCAUAGGGCAGAGUGCCAGGUAACGCCUGGGCGCUAUAAGUCGAAAGACCCAAGGCGACGGAAAGUGCAACAGAAAAAAUACCGCCGAUGGCUGGUCGCAAGACCAGAUCAGGCAAGGUUGAAAUGGCGAGGUAAGAGCUCACCGCGGACGUGGCAACACGGACGGCAAGGUAAACCCCACUCGGAGCAAAGCCAAAUAGGCAGGCGCGUUUUUUAACAUCGGCGGCUCGCCGAAGUCUGCGGGUAGGCUGCUUGAGGCGAUGGGCGACCAUCGUCCCAGAUGAAUGACUGUCCACGACAGAACCCGGCUUAUCGGCCAACUCCACUU